Molecule: ribosomal RNA, 467 nt
Filed under: uncultured archaeon
Lineage: Archaea
Description: bacterial SSU rRNA
Rfam family: Archaeal small subunit ribosomal RNA
Source: RNAcentral
UUCUGGUUGAUCCUGCCGGACCUGACUGCUAUCGGAUUGAUACUAAGCCAUGCGAGUCUUUGUAGUAAUACAAGGCAGACGGCUCAGUAACACGUAGUCAACCCACCCUAUGGACGAGAAUAAUCUCGGGAAACUGAGCAUAAUUCUUGAUAGAUCAUAAUGCCUGGAAUGGUUUAUGGUUAAAAUGAUUCGUCGCCAUAGGAUGGGACUGCGGCCUAUCAGCUUGUUGGUGAGGUAAUGGCCCACCAAGGCGAUUACAGGUACGGGCUCUGAGAGGAGAAGCCCGGAGAUGGGUACUGAGACACGGACCCAGGCCCUAUGGGGCGCAGCAGGCGAGAAAACUUUGCAAUGUGCGAAAGCACGACAAGGUUAAUCCGAGUGAUUUCUGCUAAAGAAAUCUUUUGCCAGUCGUAAAACCGCUGGUGAAUAAGGGGUGGGCAAGUUCUGGUGCCAGCAGCCGCGGUAAU